UCACCUCUUACCAUUCCGAACAGAGUAGUUAAGCCCGUUUGCGCAGAUGGUACUGCCAUCUCGGUGGGAGAGUAUGUCGCCGCCUUCU
Molecule: ribosomal RNA, 88 nt
Filed under: Flavobacteriaceae bacterium CG18_big_fil_WC_8_21_14_2_50_34_36
Lineage: Bacteria; Pseudomonadati; Bacteroidota; Flavobacteriia; Flavobacteriales; Flavobacteriaceae
Source: RNAcentral